AUCUGUAGUUGUCUGAAGUCGUUUUGCAGAGGCUUAAAGCCGCAUGAUCAGCUCACUGAGCUAGAUAUCCUGCAAGCUUGAUGGGUUUUAAAUGUCCUACGUUACAUUUUAUGUAGAAUAGUGCGUGAUGAAAUGAAAGCAGUAAUGUUAGACCUACAUCCUAAUCUGACCCAGUGGUUAGAUUCUGACCCAGAGAAGGCACACAUCGACGCGGUCCCUGUACUGCCGCCUGACACCGAACCAACCCAUCCCAGAACCGGAGCAGCAGCAUCAGCAGCAGGAACAGCCGCCGCCAGCGACUAUGUCGGAACCGACGGCAAAUCACUGUUUACCUUUAGACCCCAAACGAUUCGACUGAGCAAGGACCAUGAGUUCUUCGAAGAUGGAGAUGUACACCGUCACAUGUACUUGCAGGAUCUGGCUACUUGUGUGGCCGAGGAUGCCCAGCCUGCAAAGGUGGGAGAGUUCUGUUGCCACAUCUCGGGCUGCAGCCAGCUGUUUGAGUCCCUGGAGGCGUACGAGCACCACUACAGCGCGCUGCACCGCCACGUCUGUGCCACAUGCAGGCGCUGUCUCCCCUCCACUCGCCUGCUGGACAUCCACAUCCUGGAGUGGCAUGACUCGCUCUUCCAGCUCAUGGCCCAGAAGCAGAGCAUGUAUCAGUGCCUGGUGGAAGGAUGUGAGCUGAAGUUCAGCUCCAGUGUGCAGAGGAAGGACCACCUGAUCAAAACCCACAGCUACCCUGCAGACUUCCGAUUUGACAAGACCAAGAAGAGCAGAAGGCUGAAGGAGAAGGCCGCAGCGCAGCAGAGGGACUUGGUUAUGGAGGUGUGUGAGGAGGGGGGGGCUAGGACCCAGGGGGAGAUGGUGUCGGCAGAGACCUGUGAGUCCAUGGACUGCGGUCAGAUCCCAGGCCCUGGAUCUGAAGGAGGUCCGACUCGGGCCGGUACGGCAGAGCUGUCCCUCACAUCCGCGUCUCAGAAACCGCGCUACACGUCCAGAGUCCCGCAGUCCAUAUGCUUUGGCCAAGGCUCUGUCCGAGGAUUCAGAGGGAGGGGGUGCAAAAAGUCAAAGUGAAUAUGUGACAGCAGUACAGUACAGUACAGUACAGUACAGCAUUAAUGCUCUUCAGGUUAUUAAAAGAAUGACCCAGGUUCCUGAGGAGCUGACCUGAAUGACCAUCAUGGCCUCAAUCCGUAGUGCCUCUAUAUUCUUUGCAAAAUGCAAUGAAUAUUUACAGAGCUGACCAUGGCCGUUUGAGAAUCAGAGGAAUGGAAAGGCAAUGAAGUGACUUGGCCUACAGGUCUUUUGUGAGCAGGAGCUGGGGUUUCCUUAGAAAAAGCGUCCGUGUCAUGAUCCCCUUGUGUGUGGUGCUACGCAUAUGGAGGGAACUUCCGGAUACUUCAGGGCAGUACGUUGGAUUCAGACCCCUUUUCGACUGGACCGCGUGACACAUGUUCAGCAACAGCAUCCUCCAUGGAAGGUCUGUCUAGCUGAGCACACAAGUCCUGGGGCACAGGAAUCCGCUGGACGGCAUCCCAAUAAGGAAGAGGGUCUUUGAUGAUCUCGAAGAGGACAA
Molecule: RNA transcript, 1579 nt
Organism: Alosa sapidissima (American shad)
Lineage: Eukaryota; Metazoa; Chordata; Actinopteri; Clupeiformes; Clupeidae
Gene: znf511
Gene name: zinc finger protein 511
Exons: 8
Source: RefSeq, a predicted model, not a curated record